This 909-nucleotide long non-coding RNA is filed under the name Pongo abelii (Sumatran orangutan). RNAcentral describes it as "lincRNA". Lineage: Eukaryota; Metazoa; Chordata; Mammalia; Primates; Hominidae. The record is from RNAcentral.
AAAGGAAUAGGGCCUUCCAUUGCUCUUUUCUAGGUGGGCGGCCUAUGGGAAAGGAGAUUUACAACAGUGGAAAGGAGCAGUAAAAGUGCUGUGGUUAACGCAAAUCACAUGCUCCCAGAACAGCCUGUAAUUCCUGAGUCUAGCCUGAGUUUAUGGAAUCAAAAUUUCCAGGGUGCAAGACUUAAUCAUUUGCACUGGUUGUAAGCUCACCAGGUAACCUUGUAUAUCAGUCCAUUUUCAUACUACUAUAAAGAACUGCCCGCAAGUAAGUAAUUUAUGAAGGAAAGAGGUUUAAUGGACUUACAGUUCAACAUGGCUGGGAAGGCCUCAGGAAACAGUCACGGCAGAAGAGGAAACAAGACACCUUCUUCACAAGGAACAGGAAAGGGAAGUGCCCAGUGAAGGGGGAAGAGCCUCUUAUGCAAUCAUCAGAUCUCACGAGAACUCACUCACUAGCAACUUGCCAGGAAACCGCCUCCAUGAUUCAAUUAUUUCCACCUGGUCUCUCCCUUGACAUGUGGGAAUUAUGAGGAUUGCGAUUCAAGAUGAAAUAUUGGGUGGAGACGCAGCAAAACAUCACCUAGAGGCACAGGCUCAAAAACAGUCCACAGGAUACCAUCACAGAGCUGGAAUACAACAUGGGGCAUCUGAAAAGAAGAACCAAAAUAGAUGCCUGGUCUUCAACUAAAUUACCUGUUCAUCUUUUUCCAGGAAACCUUGGAACACCAAGGAAUCAGCAGUCAAACGAGCUCAGUCUCUGAGAACACAUGUGGGAAAAUUGAGUAUUUCAACUUUUAGGUAGACAGUUUCUACAAGCUAAAUAGUGGAACAAAAGGAGCCAAAUGAAGUUAUAAAACAUGUGCGUAUUUAGCCCCUGCUUUUUAUUAAACUAAGACUUUUUAUUCACAU